RNAcentral lists this ribosomal RNA (97 nucleotides) under Anaerovirgula multivorans. The record is from RNAcentral. Lineage: Bacteria; Bacillati; Bacillota; Clostridia; Peptostreptococcales; Natronincolaceae.
GGUCACACCUGUUCCCAUACCGAACACAGAAGUUAAGCCCUUCAGCGCUGAUGGUACUUGGCGGGAAGCUGCCUGGGAGAGUAGGUCGUUGCGACGU